Molecule: ribosomal RNA, 891 nt
Filed under: Dinophysis acuminata
Lineage: Eukaryota; Dinophyceae; Dinophysales; Dinophysaceae
Description: partial Bacterial large subunit ribosomal RNA
Rfam family: Bacterial large subunit ribosomal RNA
Source: RNAcentral
AUGUCCGAAUGGGGAAACCCACCCGCAAGGGUAACCGCUCCUGAAUAUAUAGGGAGAUGGUGGCAAACCGAGUGAACUGAAACAUCUAAGUAGCUCGAGGAAAAUAAAUCAACCGAGAUUCCGUAAGUAGUGGCGAGCGAACGCGGAACAGCCUGUUAUUUUUAGCACAUGCGAUAGUAGAACGGAAUGGAAAGUCCGGCCAUAGAGGGUGAUAGCCCCUUAUACGAAAUCCCGUGUGUGGAACUAGGAUAACGACAAGUAGGGCGGGGCACGAGAAACCUUGUCUGAACAUGGGGGGACCAUCCUCCAAGGCUAAAUACUCCUAACUGACCGAUAGUGAACUAGUACCGUGAGGGAAAGGCGAAAAGAACCCCUGUGAGGGGAGUGAAAUAGAACCUGAAACCGUGUACGUACAAGCAGUAGGAGCAGACUUGUUCUGUGACUGCGUACCUUUUGUAUAAUGGGUCAGCGACUUAUAUUUAGUAGCAAGGUUAACCGAAUAGGGGAGCCGUAGCGAAAGCGAGUGUUAACUGCGCGUUUAGUUGCUAGGUAUAGACCCGAAACCCGGUGAUCUAGCCAUGGGCAGGUUGAAGGUUGAGUAACAUCAACUGGAGGACCGAACCCACUAACGUUGAAAAGUUAGGGGAUGACCUGUGGCUAGGAGUGAAAGGCUAAUCAAACCGGGAGAUAGCUGGUUCUCCCCGAAAUCUAUUUAGGUAGAGCCUCGGACGAAUACUUACGGGGGUAGAGCACUGUUAAGGCUAGGGGGUCAUCCCGACUUACCAACCCUUUGCAAACUCCGAAUACCGUAAAGUACUAUCCGGGAGACACACGGCGGGUGCUAACGUCCGUCGUGAAGAGGGAAACAACCCAGACCGCCAGCUAAGGUCC